Molecule: long non-coding RNA, 843 nt
Organism: Passer domesticus (house sparrow)
Lineage: Eukaryota; Metazoa; Chordata; Aves; Passeriformes; Passeridae
Exons: 3
Source: RefSeq, a predicted model, not a curated record
CUUGGCCGCUGUGUUUGCACGCUCUUCACCCUGCUCCUGCCCACUCUGCUUGUCAGCUUUCCUCAGUCCUGAAAGAUCCUUAGUGCCUGGAUUUUGUCAUCCAGCCCUGCAGGAUGCUCCCAUUUGUCCUGAGGAAAGCUGUCCCAGAGGGAGAAGAGGAGAUGGAGGUGGAUAUAGAGAUUGAUAGAGAGGAGGACAUGGAGACGGAGGGAGAAGACACUGGGGAGGAGGAGAUGGAGGUGGAGGUGGAGGUGACGGUGGAAGAAGCGAUGGAUGUGGAUAUGGAAGAGUCCAUUGAGGACAUGGACAUUGAUUAAAAAGGUGCCAUGGACAUCAUGGAGGGAGAUACCACCUUUUUCUACAUGUGUUUUACACUUUGAUGUUGUCUUUAGGAUAUUAGUUUUAGGGCUUUUUGUCUUCUGUAAAUAUGUUUCAUAUAUGUUUUUGUUAGAUAGGUUUUUCUGUAUAUAUGUUCUAUCGAUUGUUGUUGUUACAAAUAUUCUUGCAAUGUAAAUAUAUUCUGUAUUUUUGCUGCUGUUCUUCUCUAAUAAACAAAUUUUAUUUUUCACACCCCAGUUCUCCUUGCAUUUGCUUCAGGCACAGGCAGCAUAUUGCCAAGGUGUAGUUUCCACUUGCUCCAGGUUCCCAGGGCUGGAGGUCACAAGUAGAUGAAGGGGAAAAAAUCCCCAAUUAAGAGUGUCCAUGACACCCAGAGCCAAAAGAAGCCCAGGGAAGCACGUGCUCCAAACCACAGCAGAAAUGUAGUGAGAGCUCUGGAGGGAACAAAAGAAAGAGGAAGCCUGAAGAAAGGAAAAAACGUCUCCCCACAAGUUGUUUUGCUUU